GAUGAACGCUGGCGGCGUGCCUAAUACAUGCAAGUCGAGCGAACAGACGAGGAGCUUGCUCCUCUGACGUUAGCGGCGGACGGGAGAAUCACACGUGUAUCACCUACCUAUAUGACUGGGAUCACUUCGAGAAACCGGCUCUAAUACCGGAUAAUAUCUUGAACCGCAUGGUUCAAUGGUGAAAGACGGUUUUUGUGUCACUUAUCGCUGGAUCCGGGCCGGAUUAGCUAGUUGGUACGGUCACGGCUUACCACGGCAACGAUGCGUAGCCGACCUGAGGGGGUGAUCGCCCACAUGGGAACGGAGACACGGUCCUGACGACUACGGGAGGCAGCAGUAGGGAAUCUGCCGCAAUGGGCGAAAGCUUGACGGAGCAACGCCGCGUGAGAGAUGAAGGCCUUCGGAUCGUAAAACUCGGUUACGAGUGAAGAACAAAUGUGGAAGUAACUAUGCACGUCUUGACGGUACCUAAUAAGAAAGCCACGGCUAACUACGUG
RNAcentral lists this ribosomal RNA (497 nucleotides) under uncultured bacterium. Its description in RNAcentral is "partial 16S ribosomal RNA". It matches the Rfam family "Bacterial small subunit ribosomal RNA", at positions 28 to 507 of the family's 1533-position model. The record is from RNAcentral.